AACGAACGCUGGCGGCAUGCCUAACACAUGCAAGUCGAACGAGACCUUCGGGUCUGGUGGCGCACGGGUGCGUAACGCGUGGGAACCUGCCCUUAGGUUCGGAAUAACUCCCCGAAAGGGGUGCUAAUACCGGAUAAUGUCUUCGGACCAAAGAUUUAUCGCCUUUGGAUGGGCCCGCGUCGGAUUAGCUAGUUGGUAGGGUAAAAGCCUACCAAGGCGACGAUCCAUAGCUGGUCUGAGAGGAUGAUCAGCCACACUGGGACUGAGACACGGCCCAGACUCCUACGGGAGGCAGCAGUGGGGAAUAUUGGACAAUGGGCGAAAGCCUGAUCCAGCAAUGCCGCGUGAGUGAUGAAGGCCUUAGGGUUGUAAAGCUCUUUUACCCGGGAUGAUAAUGACAGUACCGGGAGAAUAAGCUCCGGCUAACUCCGUG
RNAcentral lists this ribosomal RNA (433 nucleotides) under uncultured bacterium. Its description in RNAcentral is "partial 16S ribosomal RNA". It matches the Rfam family "Bacterial small subunit ribosomal RNA", at positions 29 to 507 of the family's 1533-position model. The record is from RNAcentral.